This 406-nucleotide ribosomal RNA is filed under the name uncultured bacterium. Its description in RNAcentral is "partial 16S ribosomal RNA". It matches the Rfam family "Bacterial small subunit ribosomal RNA", at positions 30 to 526 of the family's 1533-position model. The record is from RNAcentral.
AUUGAACGCUGGCGGCAGGCCUAACACAUGCAAGUCGAACGAGUGGCGGACGGGUGAGUAAUGUCUGGGAAAAUGCACGAUGGAGGGGGAUAACUACUGGAAACGGUAGCUAAUACCGCAUACCAUCGGAUGUGCCCCGAGGGGAUUAGCUAGUAGGUGGGGUAACGGCUCACCUAGGCGACGAUCCAUAGCGGGUCUGAGAGGGUGACCAGCCACACUGGCACUGAGCCCCGUGCCAGCCUCCUACGUGAGUCAGCAUUGGGGAAUUUUGCACAAUGGGCUCAAGCCUGAUGCAGCCAUGACGCGUGUAUGAAGAAGUCCUUCGGGUUGUAAAGUACUUUCAGCGAGGAGGCGUUACUCGCAGAAGAAGCACCGGCUAACUCCGUGCCAGCAGCCGCGGUAAUUC